RNAcentral lists this unclassified non-coding RNA (1108 nucleotides) under Hevea brasiliensis (rubber tree). The record is from RNAcentral. Lineage: Eukaryota; Viridiplantae; Streptophyta; Magnoliopsida; Malpighiales; Euphorbiaceae.
GUGCUUAUACCCUAUGUUGCACUCUAGUAAUGGGUGUGAAUUUGCGAUAUUGCCUCACCACAUGUACAAGUUAAACAAGCAAUUUAAUGGCCUAUUAUUUGCAGUGGCCCAUGGAGGGAUGAAAUGGGUUGUUUUGAAUGUUUUUUGGAAUUAGAUUAUUCAAAUUUAAAUAUUGACUUUUAGCUGCAUAUUGAGCACAAUAUAUAGCAUGACUAAUCCAAUUCAUGAUAUUGUUGCAAAGUAUUGGUCGAAUGAUUUGCUUUUUAUUUUACUUUGACUUGAGCAUAAAAAAUUGUUUCACCAAUUUUUACUUGGUACAUGAAUCAUUUUAUUGUGCAAAACUGAAUCUCAAGUUUCAAGCAUCUAGAAUCCAGGCCAGCUGUGGGUAUAUUAGGAUUGGAAAAUCUAGUUGUUUGAGAUGGAAAUUUAUGAUCCAUAGAAUUGCUUAAGUGUGAUGUAAGUUGAGGAUGAAAUAUUUUGUGCUAACAAAAAGAUGAAGGGAAGCUUCUAGGGGUUGCUUUUGAAUUAGGAUUAAGCUUUGUCAAUCUACUUAGAAUGAUUGUGUUUUAUUUUCCUCUGGUUAAUUUAUGGAUUUAUAUCAUCCGAAUUUUAUAUUUUUAUUGACUUUUUAUAGGUGCUAGGGCCUAUUUCGUAUUGGUUUCUAUAAAGGUCUCAGCAAUGUAAGAUUUGGGAGAAAAUUUAGAGUUCUAGUCUGUUCAGGAUUUAGUAUUUUGUAAAGGCUCUUAUACAACCACUAUUAGAGAAUAAAUUCAAUGCCUGUCUGUGUACUGGGUUCUGUUACUUCUGUUAGUGUCCAAGUAAUUUGGGAUAAGAUCACAAGGUUUUUGGGCCUCACAUCUCAAUUUGUUAUGCUUCAAUACCUGUAGCCUUUUGUAGAGUUGCACUAUUCUCCUUCUUUGUUGAUGUGCUUGGCAUUUCUCCUACUGAAAUUGCUGCUGUAGAAAGCUAGUACUAAAGCAAAAGCAUUGAUGUGUGAUCCGUGGCUAUCAUCCUAAACAAGGAUUCAAGUGUGUAUUUGCUUCAAUAUUACAGUUCUGAUCAUUUUUCUGAAACUUUUAUUUCAGCUAACCCCCUUUUUUUUUUCUCA